RNAcentral lists this ribosomal RNA (253 nucleotides) under uncultured bacterium. RNAcentral describes it as "partial 16S ribosomal RNA". It matches the Rfam family "Bacterial small subunit ribosomal RNA", at positions 524 to 776 of the family's 1533-position model. The record is from RNAcentral.
UACGUAGGGUGCUUGAGUUGUCCGGAUUUACUGGGUGUAAAGGGUGCUCAGGGGGGUUUGUAAGUCAGAGGUGAAAUCCCAAAGCUUAACUUUGGAGCUGCCUUUGAUACUGCAAGUCUAGAGUUUGAGAGAGGGUAAUGGAAUAUCUGGUGUAGCAGUGAAAUGCGUAGAUAUCAGAUAGAACACCAAUGGCGAAGGCAGUUACCUGGCUCAAAACUGACGCUAAAGCACGAAAGUGUGGGGAGCAAACAGG